GAUGAACGCUAGCUACAGGCUUAACACAUGCAAGUCGAGGGGAAACGAUAGAGAAAGCUUGCUUUUUCUAGGCGUCGACCGGCGCACGGGUGAGUAACGCGUAUCCAACCUGCCCACCACUUGGGGAUAACCUUGCGAAAGUAAGACUAAUACCCAAUGACGUCUCUAGAAGACAUCUGAAAGAGAUUAAAGAUUUAUCGGUGAUGGAUGGGGAUGCGUCUGAUUAGCUUGUUGGCGGGGUAACGGCCCACCAAGGCGACGAUCAGUAGGGGUUCUGAGAGGAAGGUCCCCCACAUUGGAACUGAGACACGGUCCAAACUCCUACGGGAGGCAGCAGUGAGGAAUAUUGGUCAAUGGACGAGAGUCUGAACCAGCCAAGUAGCGUGCAGGAUGACGGCCCUAUGGGGUUGUAAACGUUGCUUUUAUAAGGGAAUAAAGUGGGAGUCGUGAGGCUUUUUGCAUGUACCUUAUGAAUAAGGACGGCUAAUUCCGUG
This 494-nucleotide ribosomal RNA is filed under the name uncultured bacterium. Its description in RNAcentral is "bacterial SSU rRNA". It matches the Rfam family "Bacterial small subunit ribosomal RNA", at positions 28 to 507 of the family's 1533-position model. The record is from RNAcentral.